AUGGCUUUCCUCCACUCCAACGCCGUGCGGACGACGCCAUGGAAGGGCCACCAUGACCAGGAGCAGGACGACGCCUUGGAAGGUUCACCGACAGCAGCAGCUACGGUCUGGUCUUCUCCACUGACAGGUAUAUGGACAUGGAGGUCCGCCAUGGAAGGCCUGGAGCUCGUCAUGGAGGGUCCCUCCUCUCUCUUCCCCUCCCUCCACUCUGUUGGUUGGUUGGACGGAAGACCACCACUCGUCCGGCUCUGCUUCUUCCACCGUUGCUCCCCUCCCACCAUUGUGCCAGAGACGCUGUGCCAAGCACGGAAGGUCUAA
RNAcentral lists this ribosomal RNA (318 nucleotides) under Triticum aestivum (bread wheat). RNAcentral's name for it is "partial small subunit ribosomal RNA". The record is from RNAcentral. Lineage: Eukaryota; Viridiplantae; Streptophyta; Magnoliopsida; Poales; Poaceae.